This 273-nucleotide ribosomal RNA is filed under the name uncultured bacterium. Its description in RNAcentral is "partial 16S ribosomal RNA". It matches the Rfam family "Bacterial small subunit ribosomal RNA", at positions 524 to 796 of the family's 1533-position model. The record is from RNAcentral.
UACGUAGGGGGCAAGCGUUAUCCGGAAUUACUGGGUGUAAAGGGUGCGUAGCCGGAAAUGCAAGUCAGAUGUGAAAGCCCGAAGCUCAACUUCGGGAUUGCAUUUGAAACUGUAUUUCUAGAGUGCAGGAGAGGAAAGUGGAAUUCCUAGUGUAGCGGUGAAAUGCGUAGAUAUUAGGAGGAACACCAGUGGCGAAGGCGGCUUUCUGGACUGUAACUGACGGUGAGGCACGAAAGCGUGGGGAGCAAACAGGAUUAGAUACCCGCGUAGUCC